Molecule: small nuclear RNA, 108 nt
Organism: Cebus imitator (Panamanian white-faced capuchin)
Lineage: Eukaryota; Metazoa; Chordata; Mammalia; Primates; Cebidae
Source: Ensembl
GUGCUUGCCUCAGCAGCACAUAUACUAAAAUUGGAACGAUACAGAGAAGAUUAGCAUGGCCCCUGCGCAAGGACGACUUCUUUUAAUUUUUUUAAAUAAAAUAAAUUU